UUUCCGUAGGCGAACCUGCGGAAGGAUCAUUAUUGAAUAAACCUGAUGUGACUGUUAGCUGGCUUUUCGCAGCAUGUGCUCGUCCGUCAUCUUUAAUCUCUCCACCUGUGCACAUUUUGUAGUCUUGGAUACCUCUCGAGGCAACUCGGAUUUUAGGAUCGCCGUGCUGCACAAGUCGGCUUUCCUUUCAUUUCCAAGACUAUGUUUUUAUAUACACCAAAGUAUGUUUAAAGAAUGUCAUCAAUAGGAACUUGUUUCCUAUAAAAUUAUACAACUUUCAGCAACGGAUCUCUUGGCUCUC
This 301-nucleotide unclassified non-coding RNA is filed under the name plant metagenome. Its description in RNAcentral is "partial contains small subunit ribosomal RNA, internal transcribed spacer 1, and 5.8S ribosomal RNA". The record is from RNAcentral.